This 498-nucleotide long non-coding RNA is filed under the name Anas platyrhynchos platyrhynchos (common mallard). RNAcentral describes it as "lncRNA (ENSAPLG00000022666.1)". Lineage: Eukaryota; Metazoa; Chordata; Aves; Anseriformes; Anatidae. The record is from RNAcentral.
AUGGGUGGAGGCAAGCAGGUUGGAAGAAACGUCUGGUGUGACACCUGGGUGGCUGGAGGAAUGGGGAUGUGGUCAGGUUGCAGGCCCCUGCUGCAAGAUACAGCCCUAAAUUUGGCCCCAGUGUGCAAGGUGCAGGCAGAGACCUUGCAACGUGUGAUACCACGUCCUUGCAGCAGCUGUGGUGACUCGAACACAUCUUGCUGCAGAAGUUGGACAUAUGCCUGGGCAGCACACAUAUCUUGCCCUAGGAUUUUAUGGCUUGUCCCUUUCCCUGAUCCCAAGUCAGCAAUUGAUCAGCGUUGCUGCGUUUCAUUGUCAUCACUACGAGGCAGUAAAUACACCAGUGACGUUACGCGAAUAACGCAACCUUUGGCUGCUGUGCAGUGCGUGUGGCAAGCCAGCAUUCCUCAAGAAAGCAAGUCCUCCUCCCUGCGUCUUGUCUUCUUUCUUACCCUACUUGGCCAACAAAAGGCCUCGUGUGACCUCGCAGACAACUGA